RNAcentral lists this transfer RNA (58 nucleotides) under Candidatus Poribacteria bacterium. RNAcentral describes it as "tRNA-Thr". It matches the Rfam family "tRNA", at positions 9 to 64 of the family's 71-position model. Rfam says of the family: Transfer RNA (tRNA) molecules are approximately 80 nucleotides in length. Their secondary structure includes four short double-helical elements and three loops (D, anti-codon, and T loops). Further hydrogen bonds mediate the characteristic L-shaped molecular structure. tRNAs have two regions of fundamental functional importance: the anti-codon, which is responsible for specific mRNA codon recognition, and the 3' end, to which the tRNAs corresponding amino acid is attached (by aminoacyl-tRNA synthetases). tRNAs cope with the degeneracy of the genetic code in two manners: having more than one tRNA (with a specific anti-codon) for a particular amino acid; and 'wobble' base-pairing, i.e. permitting non-standard base-pairing at the 3rd anti-codon position. Lineage: Bacteria; Candidatus Poribacteria. The record is from RNAcentral.
AGCUCAGUCGGUAGAGCGCGUCCUUGGUAAGGACGAGGUCACCGGUUCAAUCCCGGUC